GCAAACUCAAGAGCUUUCACUCCACACUUGCCCACACGUUUUUUGCCUCCAAGCUUCCAAGCUUUCAAGUGCUCAAGUGUCCUAGCUUUCCAAAGCUUCAAAAGCUCUCCAACUUCUUCUUCUAAUCUUCUUGUUCAUCUUUACAAGUAAGAAGUGUUGUUUACUUUAAUAUUCCACUUCUCUAAUAACCUCUUGUGUGUGUCCACUUUGGUUGAGAGGGUUGUCUCAAUAGUACCAAAGUGUGAGAGAAGGUUUUUGAGCUCAACCAUAAAGCUCUAGUUUGGUUUUAUAGAGUUUCCAGAAAAACUCUUAGGUCGAAUCUACCUUGAAAGAUUUCUAGAUUUUUAAGAGUUCCUUGAUACUCUAAGGUACUAACUUACCCGUAAAAGUUAAAGGUUCUUAAGAGUGCCCUUGAUACUCUAAGGUGUGAGUCUACCCGUAAAAGACUGGUUCCUAAGCGAAGUAGCCUUAAAGCUUAGAGAGGUUUUUAAGAGUUUCUUGAUACUCUAAGGUACUAACUUACCCGCAAAAGUUAGAGGUUCUUAAGAGUGCCCUUGAUACUCUAAGGUGUGAGUCUACCCGUAAAAUACUGGUUCCUAAGCGAAGUAGCCUUAAAGCUUUGAGAGGUUUUUAAGAGUUUCCUUGAUACUCUAAGGUUUUGCCAUAACCUUUAGGCGAGUGAAUUCCGGCAGUUGGUCGGGACUGGACUAGCCCUUGUUUGGGUGAACCAGUAUAAAUCUCUUGUGUUGCUUUCUGUUAAUUAUAGUUUUAUCUUUUAUCUAAAAACAACUAAAUCAACACUUAAUUAAAAAGGAUCCCUCAUCCAGUUAUCUGGUCAACUAUCUGAGGUUAUAUUCAUUGCUUUACAUCCUUAUAUUUGUUCAAGUAUUUACUUAUCAUAUAUAUCCAGUUAUCUGGUCAUUUACUUGCUUAUCAAUAUAUCCAGUUAUCUGGUCAUUUACUUGCUUAUCAAUAUAUCCAGUUAUCUGGUCAUUUACUCUACAAUACAAUUUGUGUUUACAAUAUAACUUAGUAUUCAUAUACUAUAGUUGUGUGUAAAACACUAUCAAGCAAGUUGACUCAGUAUUCAUAUACUGUGGUAAGCUUCGAAGAGUAAUAAUUACGUUAUUAUAUCAAUCAAAGUUAUAAUAUCUUUAUAUCAUUAUUGUUCAACCAUUUGUUUAUUAAGCGUUUACAGGUAAUUCCGCAAUCAACCUGUAUAAAUCGAAAAGAGGCUAUUAUCCCCCCCUUAUAGUCUCGGAUCACGAUCCAACAAUUUCAACAUAUCAUGUCCGUAACAUACUUCGAAAACUUUCUGAAGAGUUCCAUGGUACGAAAGAUCAUCAAUUUUCGGAUCGUCAUUUGGAUUCUUUAAGUAUGUGGAUGUAGUAGCGGAGACCAAGACACCGUGAUUUUGUGUCUUUUUUAAAUUUGACACUUCAAACGAAAGAAAUUUCACAUCGUUUAAGAUGUAGCCGUUGUACGAUUUUAUUAAAAAAUUUGGACCUCUUGAUAUCGAACAAAUAUCUCGUGAAAUAUUCUCGUCCUUGCC
This 1552-nucleotide long non-coding RNA is filed under the name Zostera marina. RNAcentral describes it as "long non-coding RNA (ZMAR_LNC000307)". Lineage: Eukaryota; Viridiplantae; Streptophyta; Magnoliopsida; Alismatales; Zosteraceae. The record is from RNAcentral.